UGGGGAAUAUUGGACAAUGGGCGCAAGCCUGAUCCAGCCAUGCCGCGUGAGUGAUGAAGGCCUUAGGGUUGUAAAGCUCUUUCGCCGACGAAGAUAAUGACGGUAGUCGGAGAAGAAGCCCCGGCUAACUUCGUGCCAGCAGCCGCGGUAAUACGAAGGGGGCUAGCGUUGUUCGGAAUCACUGGGCGUAAAGCGCACGUAGGCGGAUUGUUAAGUCAGGGGUGAAAGCCUGGAGCUCAACUCCAGAACUGCCCUUGAUACUGGCAAUCUCGAGUCCGGAAGAGGUAAGUGGAACUGCGAGUGUAGAGGUGAAAUUCGUAGAUAUUCGCAAGAACACCAGUGGCGAAGGCGGCUUACUGGUCCGAUACUGACGCUGAGGUGCGAAAGCGUGGGGAGCAAAACAGGAUUAGAUACCCCUGGUAGUCCACGCCGUAAAACGAUGGAGGCUAGCCGUUGGCGAGCAUGCUCGUCAGUGGCGCAGCUAACGCAUUAAGCCUCCCGCCUGGGGAGUACGGUCGCAAGAUUAAAAACUUAAAUGAAUUGACGGGGGUCAUAGCUGUUUCCU
This 565-nucleotide ribosomal RNA is filed under the name uncultured bacterium. RNAcentral's name for it is "partial 16S ribosomal RNA". It matches the Rfam family "Bacterial small subunit ribosomal RNA", at positions 355 to 938 of the family's 1533-position model. The record is from RNAcentral.